This 497-nucleotide ribosomal RNA is filed under the name uncultured bacterium. RNAcentral's name for it is "partial 16S ribosomal RNA". It matches the Rfam family "Bacterial small subunit ribosomal RNA", at positions 30 to 523 of the family's 1533-position model. The record is from RNAcentral.
AUUGAACGCUGGCGGCAUGCCUAACACAUGCAAGUCGAACGCGAAAGAGGGGCAACCCUUGAGUAGAGUGGCGGACGGGUGAGUAAUACGUAGGAAUCUUCCUUAGAGUGGGGGAUAACCCGAGGAAACUCGGGCUAAUACCGCAUAAUCUUUACGAAGCAAAGGUAGCUAGCAAUAGCUAUCGCUUUAAGAUGAGCCUACGCCGGAUUAGCUAGUUGGUAGGGUAAUGGCCUACCAAGGCAACGAUCCGUAGCUGGUUUGAGAGCACGACCAGCCACACUGGGACUGAGAUGCGGCCCAGACUCCUACGGGAGGCAGCAGUGGGGAAUAUUGGACAAUGGGGGAAACCCGGAUCCAGCGAUGCCGCGUGUGCGAUGAAGGCCUGCGGGUUGUAAAGCACUUUCGUUGGGGAAGAAAUACUCAAAGCUAAUACCUUUGAGAGUUGACGUUACCCAAAGAAGAAGCACCGGCUAACUCUGUGCCAGCAGCCGCAGUAA